AGUGGAUUAUAAACCUCCAAUCAUUCUUAUUCCUUAUGAAUUAACUUUGUAUAGAUAAUUAGAUGGUUUACUGGAUAAGUCUAGAGCUAGACACUCAUAGGUGUGGCACUCCCAAUACCCCCACGAAUGCUAGUUGCCCUGCACAGUCCGAGGAUAAGGAAGGUGGCUGCUUUCCCACAGUUCUUCCGAGAGAUCAUUUAUUUUACUGGUGCUGUUUUGGCAUAAGCAGGCAGUCAUUGUGAUUAGCUCUCAGAUAAGGUUCCUGGUUGUCAGGGAUGCAUCCCUGACCCAGAACUUAGUGCUGACAUUCCAAAAUUUCCAGGGUGUGUGCGCUAAAAUCCGAAGGCCAGAUGCUCUUUCUAACUGCUUGCUUUACAGAGGAGGAAUAGGAUAAAGAAGGGCUAAAAUAUUUUGGGAAGGACUGUAGGCAUGAUGUAGGAAUUUGUGAUGUCAUUAAUGGCUGCUCAGGGAGGGAGAAUCAGGGAGGAGCCCCAUGAUAGGUUAUCUAAUCCCAGAGAGUCAACAAGAGUUAAACACUUGUACAUGCAGGCAGCACUAAAUAGACUCAACAGAUCACACACACACACACACACACACACACACACACACACAC
RNAcentral lists this long non-coding RNA (613 nucleotides) under Androctonus crassicauda. Lineage: Eukaryota; Metazoa; Arthropoda; Arachnida; Scorpiones; Buthidae. The record is from RNAcentral.